RNAcentral lists this ribosomal RNA (497 nucleotides) under uncultured bacterium. RNAcentral's name for it is "partial 16S ribosomal RNA". It matches the Rfam family "Bacterial small subunit ribosomal RNA", at positions 28 to 507 of the family's 1533-position model. The record is from RNAcentral.
GAUGAACGCUGGCGGCGUGCCUAAUACAUGCAAGUCGAGCGAACGGACGAGAAGCUUGCUUCUCUGAUGUUAGCGGCGGACGGGUGAGUAACACGUGGAUAACCUACCUAUAAGACUGGGAUCACUUCGGGAAACCGGAGCUAAUACCGGAUAAUAUUUUGAACCGCAUGGUUCAAAAGUGAAAGACGGUCUUGCUGUCACUUAUAGAUGGAUCCGCGCUGCAUUAGCUAGUUGGUAAGGUAACGGCUUACCAAGGCUACGAUGCAUAGCCGACCUGAGAGGGUGAUCGGCCACACUGGAACUGAGACACGGUCCAGACUCCUACGGGAGGCAGCAGUAGGGAAUCUUACGCAAUGGGCGAAAGCCUGACGGAGCAACGCCGCGUGAGUGAUGAAGGUCUUCGGAUCGUAAAACUCUGUUAUUAGGGAAGAACAUAUGUGUAAGUAACUGUGCACAUCUUGACGGUACCUAAUCAGAAAGCCACGGCUAACUACGUG